GGUUGUAGCUCAUUGGUAGAGCGCUUGCCUUGCACGCAUGAGGCCCUGGGUUCAAUCCUCAGCACCA
Molecule: transfer RNA, 67 nt
Filed under: Marmota monax (woodchuck)
Lineage: Eukaryota; Metazoa; Chordata; Mammalia; Rodentia; Sciuridae
Description: tRNA.Ala
Rfam family: tRNA
About the family: Transfer RNA (tRNA) molecules are approximately 80 nucleotides in length. Their secondary structure includes four short double-helical elements and three loops (D, anti-codon, and T loops).
Source: RNAcentral